GACAAUCGAUGCAAAAUAGGGAUGAUGUCCACAUCUCGAUCCAAGAAAAAUUACUAAGCAAUCGGAUAAUGAAAAGAAAUAAUAAUGAAAAACACAAGUGAAUAGUUACAAACUAGAUCACUUGGAGUGCGAGGUCCCUUUACCCUCUCUUCGUGGUGCACUUGUGUAUCUGAAUGUCUUAAUUUGCUUAGCUGCCUCUUUCUUCUUUCCAUCCUGUGACAGAAAUCGAUCAUAGUUGAAAAGAUCGAUAGAUGGAUGCCCAACAGCCACCCAUUCUUUAGUAAGAACGAUAGAGGCUGCCAUCAUUUUUCCCAUAUGUGUUCAUGUCCUUAAUAUGCUCUAAAGAAUCCUUGAAUCACUCUAAGGCAUCAAUUCAAGCACGGGCUAGCGAAGAGCGCAAUUAUCAAUCUCCUUUUUCCUCUUCACUGACUCGAGACUUCUGCUCAUUGAUCCAUGACUCCAUCUCCUUAUAACGAGCUUCCAUAGCAUCGAGAGACUUCUUCAAGGUUGAAUUUUUUUCCUUGAAGUUGCUCGCUUCCUUGAUCUUGUCGUCCUCGAGAGCCUUCAACUCAAACGUGACUUACUCUGACAGGUAAAGCUUGCAUGAUCAAGAAAAGUAAAUGAAGAUAUGCACGGUAAGAAAAUAAAAGCCUACCUAUAAGUUGACUGGUUCUCAAUAUCAACAUCUUCCUCAUUGUCAAAACUUGAGAUAGGAGAGAUGCAAGAAGUGGUAGGGGUCAACUGUUGUAUUUGAGAGUUCAAGAGUCCCAGGCUCACGUGACUAUUGAAAAGGUACAUUUGGGAAACUCUCCAAUAAGUAGUGAAAGGAAAUUCGCCUUCGGAAAGUAGAACGAAGAAUAAUCGAGACUUCCAUCCACUAUUAGAAUUUCUAUACUUAGGAAUACUAAGAGAAACCCUAAUG
This 922-nucleotide long non-coding RNA is filed under the name Olea europaea (common olive). RNAcentral describes it as "long non-coding RNA (OEUR_LNC010195)". Lineage: Eukaryota; Viridiplantae; Streptophyta; Magnoliopsida; Lamiales; Oleaceae. The record is from RNAcentral.